This is a non-coding RNA of Mycena polygramma, 94 nucleotides long. The record is from the annotation of a GenBank genome assembly. NCBI's taxonomy places the organism in Eukaryota, Fungi, Basidiomycota, Agaricomycetes, Agaricales, Mycenaceae.
UGCCCCUUGGCCCAGUUGGUGAAGGCGCACGACUGUUAUGAUGCAUACAACCACAUCAAUCGUGAGAUCGCAAGUUCGAACCUUGCAGGGGCAG